This 172-nucleotide non-coding RNA is filed under the name Pseudomonas aeruginosa. RNAcentral describes it as "6S / SsrS RNA". It matches the Rfam family "6S / SsrS RNA". Rfam says of the family: E. coli 6S RNA was the first non coding RNA to be sequenced, but its function was unknown until recently. It consists of 184 nucleotides that fold into an extended hairpin structure with a large single-stranded internal bulge. Lineage: Bacteria; Pseudomonadati; Pseudomonadota; Gammaproteobacteria; Pseudomonadales; Pseudomonadaceae. The record is from RNAcentral.
UCCCUGGUGUGUUGGCCAGUCGGUGAUGUCCCUGAGCCGAUAACAGCAACAACGGAGGUUGCCAGUUGGACCGGUGUGCAUGUCCGCACGACGGAAAGCCUUAAGGUCUACUGCAACCGCCACCUUGAACUUUCGGGUUCAAGGGCUAACCCGACAGCGGCACGACCGGGGA